This is a microRNA precursor of Cyprinus carpio carpio, 85 nucleotides long. The record is from Ensembl. Lineage: Eukaryota; Metazoa; Chordata; Actinopteri; Cypriniformes; Cyprinidae.
GGAGCGGCUGGAUUCGGGGCCGAGGCACUGUCUGAGACGCCCUACGAUUCUCACAGUGAACCGGUCUCUUUUCCAGCCCCUCACU